This is a long non-coding RNA of Tympanuchus pallidicinctus (lesser prairie-chicken), 167 nucleotides long. RefSeq lists it as uncharacterized. The record is from RefSeq and is a predicted model, not a curated record. The transcript has 2 exons. NCBI's taxonomy places the organism in Eukaryota, Metazoa, Chordata, Aves, Galliformes, Phasianidae.
CAGUUGGGAGAAGGUGUUCUUGAUGUUGUCCAGGUUCUUCACAGCAUCCCCAAAGGAGGUGAGCACUUUCUUGCCAUGGGCACGGACCAUGGGGUUGCCAAGGAUGGCGGUGGGGCUGGAGAGGUUCCCAAAGGACGCAAAGAACCUCUGGGUCCAGGGGUAGACAA